CGAACGGCAGCACGGGGGCAACCCUGGUGGCGAGUGGCGAACGGGUGAGGAAUGCACCGGAACGUAUCUUCAAGUGGGGGAUAACGCAUCGAAAGGUGUGCUAAUACCGCAUAAUCUCUGAGGAGAAAAGCAGGGGAUCGCAAGACCUUGCGCUUUUGGAGCGGCCGAUGCCUGAUUAACUUGUUGGUGAGGUAAAAGCUCACCAAGGCUCCGAUCAGUAGCUGGUCUGAGAGGACGACCAGCCACACUGGGACUGAGACACGGCCCAGACUCCUACGGGAGGCAGCGGUGGGGAAUUUUGGACAAUGGGGGCAACCCUGAUCCAGCCAUGCCGCGUGAGUGAAGAAGGCCUUCGGGUUGUAAAGCUCUUUCAGCCGGAACGAAACGGUCACGGUUAAUACCCGUGACUACUGACGGUACCGGAAGAAGAAGCACCGGCUAACUACGUGCCAGCAGCCGCGGUAAUACGUAGGGUGCGAGCGUUAAUCGGAAUUACUGGGCGUAAAGCGUGCGCAGGUGGUUUUGUAAGUCAGAUGUGAAAUCCCCGGGCUUAACCUGGGAACUGCGUUUGAAACUGCAAGGCUAGAGUGUGGCAGAGGGGGGUGGAAUUCCGCGUGUAGCAGUGAAAUGCGUAGAGAUGUGGAGGAACACCGAUGGCGAAGGCAGCCCCCUGGGUCAACACUGACGCUCAGGCACGAAAGCAUGGGGAGCAAACAGGAUUAGAUACCCUGGUAGUCCAUGCCCUAAACGAUGUCAACUAGUUGUCGGGUCUUAACGGGCUUGGUAACGUAGCUAACGCGUGAAGUUGACCGCCUGGGGAGUACGAUCGCAAGAUUAAAACUCAAAGGAA
RNAcentral lists this ribosomal RNA (850 nucleotides) under uncultured bacterium. Its description in RNAcentral is "bacterial SSU rRNA". It matches the Rfam family "Bacterial small subunit ribosomal RNA", at positions 63 to 909 of the family's 1533-position model. The record is from RNAcentral.